AAGGCCUCACGCUAUACGAGCGGCCGAUGUCGGAUUAGCUAGUUGGUGGGGUAAAGGCCUACCAAGGCGACGAUCCGUAGCGGGUCUGAGAGGAUGAUCCGCCACACUGGGACUGAGACACGGCCCAGACUCCUACGGGAGGCAGCAGUGGGGAAUUUUGGACAAUGGGGGCAACCCUGAUCCAGCCAUGCCGCGUGAGUGAAGAAGGCCUUCGGGUUGUAAAGCUCUUUCGGACGGAAAGAAAUCGCAUGGGUCAAUACCCUGUGUGGAUGACGGUACCGUAAGAAGAAGCACCGGCUAACUACGUGCCAGCAGCCGCGGUAAUACGUAGGGUGCGAGCGUUAAUCGGAAUUACUGGGCGUAAAGCGUGCGCAGGCGGUUAUGUAAGACAGAUGUGAAAUCCCCGGGCUCAACCUGGGAACUGCGUUUGUGACUGCAUAACUAGAGUACGGCAGAGGGAGGUGGAAUUCCACGUGUAGCAGUGAAAUGCGUAGAGAUGUGGAGGAACACCGAUGGCGAAGGCAGCCU
This 528-nucleotide ribosomal RNA is filed under the name Zoogloea sp. RNAcentral's name for it is "bacterial SSU rRNA". It matches the Rfam family "Bacterial small subunit ribosomal RNA", at positions 202 to 727 of the family's 1533-position model. The record is from RNAcentral. Lineage: Bacteria; Pseudomonadati; Pseudomonadota; Betaproteobacteria; Rhodocyclales; Zoogloeaceae.